RNAcentral lists this ribosomal RNA (496 nucleotides) under uncultured bacterium. Its description in RNAcentral is "bacterial SSU rRNA". It matches the Rfam family "Bacterial small subunit ribosomal RNA", at positions 29 to 518 of the family's 1533-position model. The record is from RNAcentral.
AAUGAACGUUGGCGGCGUGGAUUAGGCAUGCAAGUCGAGCGAGAAUUUGCGAUUGGAAGCUUCGGCCGAAGAAAGUGAAGGAAGCGGCAAACGGCGUAGUAAGGCGUAGGUACGUACCCUCGGGUCGGGAAUAGCCAUGGGAAACUGUGGGUAAUGCCCGAUAAUCUCUGCGGAGCAAAGGUGUGAUUCCGCCGGAGGAGCGGCUUACGUGAUAUUAGCUAGUUGGUGGGGUAAUGGCCUACCAAGGCAACGAUGUCUAGGGGGUGUGAGAGCAUGGCCCCCACGACCGGAACUGAGACACUGUCCGGACACCUACGGGUGGCUGCAGUCGAGAAUCUUCCGCAAUGGGCGAAAGCCUGACGGAGCGACGCCGCGUGGUGGAUGAAGGCCCUUGGGUUGUAAACACCUGUCAGAGGGGAUGAAAUCAUGGUUGGCAAUCCUUCCAUGUUGACAGAGCCUCAGAGGAAGCACGGGCUAAGUACGUGCCAGCAGCCGU